GACGAACGCUGGCGGCGUGCUUAACACAUGCAAGUCGAACGGAAAGGCCCUGCUUUUGUGGGGUGCUCGAGUGGCGAACGGGUGAGUAACACGUGAGUAACCUGCCCUUGACUUUGGGAUAACUUCACGAAACUGGGGCUAAUACCGGAUAGCAGCUCCUGCUGCAUGGUGGGGGGUGGAAAGUUUCGGCGGUUGGGGAUGGACUCGCGGCUGAUCAGCUUGUUGGUGGGGGAGUGGCUUACCCAGGCUGUGACGGGUAGCCGGCCUGAGAGGGUGACCGGGGACAUUGGGACUGAGAGAGGGCGCAGACUCGUACGGGAGGCAGCAGUGGGGAAUAUUGUACAAUGGGCGGAAGCCUGAUGCAGCAACGCCGGGUUCGGGAUGACGGCCUUCGGGUUGUAAACCGCUUUAGCCUGUGACGCAGCGGGAGUGACGGUAAUGGGUAAAGAAGCACCGGCUAACUACGUG
RNAcentral lists this ribosomal RNA (468 nucleotides) under uncultured bacterium. Its description in RNAcentral is "partial 16S ribosomal RNA". It matches the Rfam family "Bacterial small subunit ribosomal RNA", at positions 28 to 507 of the family's 1533-position model. The record is from RNAcentral.